GCUGGGUGUGGUGGCAAAUGUCUGUAAUCCCAGCAGCUUGGGAGGCUGAGGCAGGAGGAUCAUGAGUUCAAAGCCAGCCUCAGCAACUGAGAGGUGCUAAGCAACUCAGUGAGAAUCUGUCUCUA
RNAcentral lists this small RNA (125 nucleotides) under Marmota monax (woodchuck). The record is from RNAcentral. Lineage: Eukaryota; Metazoa; Chordata; Mammalia; Rodentia; Sciuridae.